GUCAGCUACAUGUGCUCGCUCUGAACUAGAGAUGUGGCCUUUUCGCUAUCGUCUUAGUACAGGGAACCAUUUGUGCCAAAAAUAUGAACCCCUGGUGAUAAAACAAAAUAGUUGGUGCCAGCAGUUAAUCGUAAUCACACGUCAGUUUAGAGAAGAUGCAAGGGGAAGAUGAGAUCAAUAGAAUCCUUGGAUUUCUUAUAGGUAGCACCCCACAACUUUCACAACAAAACCAACAGGCUACUCCAUGGCCUUCUCAGCAGCCAGCAGUACCUACACAUCAAGGCGAGUUGUGAUUAUGGUGUACUUUGCUAAAGAGCCAAGUUCAAUUUCUAGAAAUAGAUUUUGUUA
Non-coding RNA from Pocillopora verrucosa, 348 nucleotides. NCBI's taxonomy places the organism in Eukaryota, Metazoa, Cnidaria, Anthozoa, Scleractinia, Pocilloporidae. The record is from RefSeq and is a predicted model, not a curated record.